ACAUCGCGGGCUCCGGCGCCGCGCUCCUCGGCCGCCCCGGGUGCGGCUGUGGCGGGGCCCGGGUGCGGCGCGGGCCGCGGUGGCCGUCCCUCCGCAGGGCGCAGGCAGCAAACUUUGGCGGCGUCCGCGCGGCGCCGUCUCCGCCGGCGCGCCGGGCUCGCCCCUUUAUAGAGUGUCUGCGCCGCCGCCCGCGCCCCCCCCGCCGCCGCCGCCGGGCGGCCCCUCCCGGAGCGAGCGGCCGCGGGCAGGGCUCCGACCCGGCGCCUUUGUCUCGCCCGGGCCGCUCGGGCGCCGCGCCUCCUGUUCCGGGCGCGCGGGGUCGGCCGGCCGCCUUCGCUGCUCCGCCGCGGCUCUCAGCGCCGCUCAGCGCGGCGGGCCCGCCCGGGCUCAGGUGCCCCCCGCUCUCCGGACCUUCUCGCCCGGCCCCGCGUCCCCUCCGCGGGCUUCCCCCGGCGGCCGGCCGGGCUCGGAGGCUCGCGGCCGGAGCGGAGCGGAGUGCGCACGCCGGGGUGGCAGGACUUCGGCAAGACCAACUUUCCGGUUCGGAAGCGGCGCGGGCCGCGCGGCUCCUCCCCUCCUCUCCCUCCCCUGCGUUCCCCCUCCCUUCCACUCCCCCCUCUCCCCGCCCCCCAACCCGCGGGCCCCACCGACUCCGGAGCGCCCGCCCCGCCCGCUGCUGCCACCGGGCCGCCUCGCCCCCGCGCCAGCCCGCCUGGGCCUCUGCGCCGCCGGCGGCUUCUUAAAUACAGGAAAGGGAGGGGACCGCAGGGCCCCGGUGUUCCCCACCCUAGUCCCCCUUCACCACGGGCCACCGGGCGCCAGCGGAGUGGGCAGCGAGCGCGACCGAAAGUUCCAACUCCACCAAACUCCCGCGCGCGGCCCACCCUUUCCCGGGAUUUCGGGGAUGACACGGGGGCCAGGUGAGGGGGCUGCGCACUUCUGGAUCGGCCCCACACACUCGGCCCCUGGCGCGGCGCGCUCCCCGCACACGCGCCCGCCCCCUCCCCGCGGUCACACGCACGCGCCCUCGCCCUCGCCCCGCGCGCACAGGCGCGUACUCCCACCCGCGGCCGUGCACCCGCCGCGCUCCUUCCCGCGCGUGUCCUCUCUCCCCGAGCGGCCGCCAGGAUGUGCCCCCGGCCCCGUCGUCGCCGCGCCCGCGCCCCUCGCCCCAGUACGUCUUUUUUCGUUUCCUAAAUUUCUUAUUUUUGUCCUUGCAAGUGGUCCUGUCUGGUGUGAACCGUCAGCACAGAUGGCCUCCUGGAGCUUCCCCGAGUCGUUCGCUGGGGGAAGCGGGCGGUGAGCGGCCAGCCCGGGCGCUCCGCAGGCCGCGAGCUCCCGGCAGGGCUGGUGGCGGGGGUCCGCCUGGGGGAGGAAUCCCCGCCUGCUCCAUCGGACCCGGCCUGGCGCGGCUCGCGGCGCUCGGCGGGCUCCCUUCCAUUCUAGAAUCUUCCCGCUUGCUUCCCAGCCCGCGUUCUUCCGCCUGCCUUUAAUUGUGUAAGUUUGACGAAGUCAGAGCUUUGGGUUCCAGGAAAAGCGCAGGAGGGUCAUAGAGGAAGGGAGGGCGCAGGUUGGAGUCAGGUCCAAACAGUCCCUAUCGCCACUUUUGAAAAAAAAAAAAAACAACAAAAACCCUUAAGGUUGGUUUUAUUUUGCCUUUUGGUAGCGGGCGUAUUCAUUUAGAUUUUUUUUUCAAGACAGGCAAAUAAAAGGUGUUUGAAAUCUCUAGUUAUCCCGUUUAACACACCCAUCGAUGGCGCUUUUCUAGUUAAGCUACGGGGGAAACGUCUUUAUCCCGCAGUUAGGCUGCGAACUUGUGCAGAUGCUCAGGCUUUGUGGAGACGCUCCGGCAUCUGGCGCAGAGGCGCCCGGCGGGGAAAAGUUUGCAGCCCGGGCUUUGGGGCGCGCGGGGGGCAGGAAUUUUUCUGAGAAGAGAGGGGCAUAGAGAGGCGGCGCGGGUGGGGAGAGAAAAAAGGAACGCAGGGGGGAGGGGGAAAAGCAGCUUGCAGGAUGGGAGUUUCUUGCAGAAUUUACAGGAUUAAGGAGUUUGGGGAAGUCGCAGAGCUGCAGCGGAAAGGCAGGGGUCUGAGACUACUUUUGAGAAGAGAAACAACGCAAAACGAUCGCUGGAGGGCCAGAGCCCUGGUCGAAGAAGCAGACACAGGUUCCCACGGCGUCUGACGCCUGCGGAGCAAGUCCAGAGCCAGCUGGACUCGCAGCCUCUGGCCCGGCGGCACCAACUCCUCACUGGGUCAUUUUGAGCGCGCUGUGCCCACCUUUUCUGUUGCGUGUGGACGUGGGGAGGAUCUUCUAAGUCCCUCCAACGAAGGCAAGUGUGAGACUCUGGCCCUUUAUUUGUAAGAAGCAAGCCUUCAGAUUGCAGAAGUGUCGCGCGGGUCGCCGUGCGUUGCGCGAGUGGGAAGAUGGAGGAGGCCGGCACGCUGCUUUCGUGGACGCAAGUGAACCGGGCGUGAAGGCAGGGUGCGAGCUCUGCCCUUGGCCCAGCCCUGCGUGGGCGCCGUCCCAGAUUCCGGGCGGUGCGGGGUGCAGAGAUCUGGAGAGACUUGCGGGCUCCCCAGCGCAGGCUGCUCUGGGAUUUCGUUGGAAGAUCCGGCAGAGCCUUGGAGGAGAGGGCCCGGGAGGCUGUGUGUGCAGCGGAAACUUGUACGAAUGCCCCCACAGCGGAAAUGGUGCGCACGAGUAAUUUCUGCGGUGCACCCUUUUAAAAAUUGACAAGUGAACAAGAUCAAUUUUUUAAGAAAGCAAAGGUAGAAAACAAAAGGCGUGCGACUUCUUGACUGGCUUGUUCCCGCCUUUCUUCCUUCUCUAUACUCAGAUCAGAAACUUUUCUUUAAUUGCUCUUAUUCAGUGCGACAACUUUUAAUAAAAGCAUUUGCAUUUUAAGCCUGAGUUGCAACCAUAGAUUUAUUGCGAAGUGACAACGUGUCUAUGGAAUAUUUUCGCAGAUGAGACAGGACAUGCGCUCUAGUCGUGCCCAGAUUAAAGCGACGCUGGGCCAUGUGCCUGUGUAGUGCAGACUCGGAGGGGCACACACAUACUCGUCACCACAUGACCACUGUCUAUUAAUAUUGUCAUACCUAAACACUCGCAAAAACAAAAGUUG
This 3124-nucleotide long non-coding RNA is filed under the name Homo sapiens (human). RNAcentral describes it as "non-protein coding LINC01896:26". The record is from RNAcentral. Lineage: Eukaryota; Metazoa; Chordata; Mammalia; Primates; Hominidae.